AUAGCGUAUAUUAAAGUUGUUGAGGUUAAAAAGCUCGUAGUUGAACCUUGGGCCUAGCCGGCCGGUCCGCCUCACCGCGUGCACUGGCUCGGUUGGGCCUUUCCUUCUGGAGAACCCCAUGCCCUUCACUGGGUGUGGUGGGGAACCAGGACUUUUACUCUGAACAAAUUAGAUCGCUUAAAGAAGGCCUAUGCUCGAAUAUAUUAGCAUGGAAUAAUAGAAUAGGACGUGUGGUUCUAUUUUGUUGGUUUCUAGGACCGAAGUAAUGAUUAAUAGGGAUAGUUGGGGGCAUUAGUAUUUAAUUGUCAGAGGUGAAAUUCUUGGAUUUAUUAAAGACUAACUUCUG
RNAcentral lists this ribosomal RNA (346 nucleotides) under uncultured eukaryote. Its description in RNAcentral is "SSU rRNA". It matches the Rfam family "Eukaryotic small subunit ribosomal RNA", at positions 594 to 945 of the family's 1831-position model. The record is from RNAcentral.